GAGCGGAAGAGAGAGAAAGAGAGGUGGUAAAUGUAAGGCCCAAGGUUUCGUGGAUUCAUUCCCAAAUAAACCUUUCCCAGCUCCAACUUGUUCGACAAUACACCCCCCAAGUAAUAGAGAGAAAGAAGAGAGAUAAAAGUAGAGAGAGAAAGCCAUAAAUCUCUAACCCUCCUCGUAUUUCCAAGCUCCGAAAGUCCCAGCCAUGUCGACGACCGCCAACGCGGCGGCCCCCCCCUCCCUAUCCUUCUGGUGCCACCAAUGCUCCCGCACGGUCUAUCUCUCUCCUCCCCCUUCUGGCUCUGCCGAUCUUGUUUGCCCUAACUGUCAUGGCGGCUUCUUGGAAGAGCUCGAAUCCCCUCCUCCUUCUAUCCCUAACCCCUUCCUCAACUUCUUUGAGCCAUUUUCUGGUCACUUUUCCGGUCGCGAGCGCAUUUUUGCCCCCCCUUCUCGGCCCAUCAGCAACCCGGAUGACGUCUUUGCCGUCCACGACCAGAGCGAUCCCAUGGUCUUCAACCCUCUAAUCUUCCUUCAAGAUUACCUCCAAACCCUUGUGCAGGGGAGGCCGAACUUCCAAGUUGUCUUUGAGACCUCGGAUAAUGCGGCCCCUGCCGGUUUUCGGCUAAAUGACUAUUUUGUUGGCCCCGGCCUAGAGCAGCUGAUCCAGCACCUCGCUGAGAACGAUCCCAACCGCUACGGGACGCCCCCAGCAUCAGAAUCAGCCAUCGAUUCGCUCCCAGAAGUUAGGGUUUCCUCUGAGCUCUUGAAUUCUGAUACGUCCCAGUGUGCGGUAUGCAAGGAUGCAUUUGAGGAGGGUUCGUUUGCCAAGCAGUUGCCUUGCAAACACAUAUACCACGGCGAUUGUAUUUUGCCAUGGCUCGAGCUUCAUAACUCUUGCCCGGUUUGCAGGUACGAGCUGCCAACAGAUGACCAGGACUAUGAACGCCGAAAUCAGGGUGAGGGGCGUCCGAAUCAGGGUGAGGGGCGCCGGAAUCCGGCAGGGCAGCCAGAAUCAGGCGGAGAUUCUGGAGAAGGGUCAGCCGGCGAUGGUGGUAGUGGCGGCCAGCAGGGCCAGGGGAGGAGGUUUAGGAUCUCGAUCCCUUGGCGUUUGAAUGCUUUGGUGGCUGGAGGUGGGAGCGAAAAUAGUGGUGGUGAGAGUGGUAGGGCGGGUGAGGGGGGUGGUGAGAAUAGCGGGGGCCAGGGCGAAAGAGGUGGGGUUGUGGGUGGGAGUGGGAGUGGGAGUGGAGGGGACAAUAGAGGGGAUGGGGCUGGUGAUAGCCGGUUGAGGCAGGAAGAUCUUGACUGAGGGCAAAUUAUGAGGGACCUAUUCUUUGAUAGUUAUAUAUUGGAGCGGCUGGUGGGAAUCAGAUUGAGUUUCGUUGGAAGUGGUCCAUUCAAAAGAAAAUAUUGCAGAAUACCAAUUGGUGAUAUUGGGAAGUUAAAUACCAUAGGUGCCUUUACUGAGAAAACUGUGUUGUGGCUUCUAAAAUGUUGAUUGGGGGGGGAGUAUUUGUGGUGGGCCCUCUUUGCAGUCUCAUUGCAUCGGAUUCUGAUUCCUUGGAGUAUAGGAACACAACGAAGAGAUGUAGGUUCAUCCUUCCUCAAUGUCCAAAUGUUGACAGUAUGGUGCAUAGCUGCUUUGGAGCUAAUUCCAUUUUCCAGCUACAAUUUACAAAGAAAUUGGCAGCUCUAGGAGGACUCGAGCAUAGUGUCUUGUGGGUCGGCUCAACUUUAUUGAGUUGAUAGUAUAUGAUAUCUUGGAGUGAGUACUCUUGGCAUAAUGCAUCACAUUGUUUUUAAACAAGUGGUCUUUCCUGCUGUUUGCUGUUUUCCUUCUGGUAUGCAAAGUUGUGGAUUUUUCGUAUUCCAUAUUUUGCACUAAUGCAUUAUUUUUACAAAAGAAAGCAACACAAUUGUAGGAAAUGUUUUGAUUCUGCAAACUGAGUUAUUUAAUGUACUCAUACUUGCAUACUGCCCCACAUAUCCUUGGAUGUGAUAAUUGUUCUCUAGCCAAGUAUUGCUUUUGGGACUUUAUUUGGUGAUUUUCCAUCUCUUGAGCCUCAAGUGACUUGUAUUCACUGUUGGAAUAAUGCUAUAGAAGUUAGUUCUUGAA
Molecule: RNA transcript, 2110 nt
Organism: Amborella trichopoda
Lineage: Eukaryota; Viridiplantae; Streptophyta; Magnoliopsida; Amborellales; Amborellaceae
Gene name: E3 ubiquitin-protein ligase RING1-like
Source: RefSeq, a predicted model, not a curated record